CAGCCUGGGCCCCAGAGUGAACACCAUGCAGAACAGAGAUGUGGAUGGAUCAUGAGCAAGAAACAAACCUUGUUGUCAAGCAUGUGGCUACCUGCAGAAGAAGCUGACAUCCUGCGCUUCCACACACACUCCUGCACAGAACUUGAAGGUGAACGAGGGGAGACUCAGCUGGGAGGAGGUUCUCCUUUGCCCAUUAUUCUUCCUGGCCACAUCUAAAGUGGAUAUUGUCUGUUUAUAGGCACAGCUGUUUAAAGAAACCAGAUGGUCUGGAUGCCACAAGUAGCCCCCUUGAGACCCGCUGCUGAA
This is a long non-coding RNA of Homo sapiens (human), 306 nucleotides long. RefSeq lists it as uncharacterized. NCBI's taxonomy places the organism in Eukaryota, Metazoa, Chordata, Mammalia, Primates, Hominidae. The record is from RefSeq and is a predicted model, not a curated record. The transcript has 4 exons.